AUGGCCACGGCGCAGAGUUGCCGCGCUCCUCUUCCUCCCUCUCACGCGGAAAAGAAAAAGGAGGACACGACGAGCGCCUCUCUGUCUCUCUCUGUCGCGCGCGGAAACAGAGAUGGGAGGGGGAAGGGGCUGCCUCGCCGGUGCCGCCCUGGCUCGCCGCUCCGUCCUGGCACGCCGCGCCGGCGGUGGCUCGCGCACCGGAGCCGAGCGGGCGGGCGAGAGAGGAACGGACGAGCGAGAGAGGCGCUGGGGGCGGAAUGGCGUUAG
This 267-nucleotide ribosomal RNA is filed under the name Triticum aestivum (bread wheat). RNAcentral describes it as "partial small subunit ribosomal RNA". Lineage: Eukaryota; Viridiplantae; Streptophyta; Magnoliopsida; Poales; Poaceae. The record is from RNAcentral.